AGUGAACGCUGGCGGCGUGCUUAACACAUGCAAGUCGAACGAGAAACGGAUUUAGCUUGCUAAAUUGCAGUCUAAGUGGCGCACGGGUGAGUAAUGUAUAGGUAAUAUGCCUCUUAUUAAGGGAUAACAAUUGGAAACGAUUGCUAAUACCUUAUAUGCCUUUAAUACGAAAGUAUGCAAGGGAAAGAUUUAUUGGUAAGAGAUUAGCCUGUAUGGUAUCAGUUAGUUGGUGAGGUAAUGGCUCACCAAGACAAUGACGCCUAACUGGUUUGAGAGGAUGAUCAGUCACACUGGAACUGAGACACGGUCCAGACUCCUACGGGAGGCAGCAGUGGGGAAUAUUGCACAAUGGACGAAAGUCUGAUGCAGCAACGCCGCGUGGAGGAUGACACAUUUCGGUGCGUAAACUCCUUUUAUAUAGGAAGAUAAUGACGGUACUAUAUGAAUAAGCACCGGCUAACUCCGUGCCAGCAG
RNAcentral lists this ribosomal RNA (474 nucleotides) under uncultured bacterium. RNAcentral describes it as "bacterial SSU rRNA". It matches the Rfam family "Bacterial small subunit ribosomal RNA", at positions 29 to 514 of the family's 1533-position model. The record is from RNAcentral.